UACGGCCAUAUCACGUUGAAACACCAAUUCCUAUACGAUCAACGAAGUUAAGCAACGUCGAGCCUGGUCAGUACGUAAAUGGGUGAUCUUUUUGGGAAUACUCGGCGCUGUAAG
Non-coding RNA from Acanthosepion pharaonis, 114 nucleotides. NCBI's taxonomy places the organism in Eukaryota, Metazoa, Mollusca, Cephalopoda, Sepiida, Sepiidae. The record is from the annotation of a GenBank genome assembly.